AGAGUUUGAUCCUGGCUCAGGACGAACGCUGGCGGCGUGCCUAAUACAUGCAAGUCGAGCGAACAGAAGGGAGCUUGCUCCCGGAUGUUAGCGGCGGACGGGUGAGUAACACGUGGGUAACCUGCCUGUAAGACUGGGAUAACUCCGGGAAACCGGAGCUAAUACCGGAUAGUUCCUUGAACCGCAUGGUUCAAGGAUGAAAGACGGUUUCGGCUGUCACUUACAGAUGGACCCGCGGCGCAUUAGCUAGUUGGUGGGGUAACGGCUCACCAAGGCGACGAUGCGUAGCCGACCUGAGAGGGUGAUCGGCCACACUGGGACUGAGACACGGCCCAGACUCCUACGGGAGGCAGCAGUAGGGAAUCUUCCGCAAUGGACGAAAGUCUGACGGAGCAACGCCGCGUGAGUGAUGAAGGUUUUCGGAUCGUAAAGCUCUGUUGUUAGGGAAGAACAAGUGCAAGAGUAACUGCUUGCACCUUGACGGUACCUAACCAGAAAGCCACGGCUAACUCCGUGCCAGCAGCCGCGGUAAU
RNAcentral lists this ribosomal RNA (533 nucleotides) under uncultured endophytic bacterium. RNAcentral's name for it is "bacterial SSU rRNA". It matches the Rfam family "Bacterial small subunit ribosomal RNA", at positions 8 to 524 of the family's 1533-position model. The record is from RNAcentral.